Molecule: ribosomal RNA, 810 nt
Filed under: uncultured bacterium
Lineage: Bacteria
Description: bacterial SSU rRNA
Rfam family: Bacterial small subunit ribosomal RNA
Source: RNAcentral
UUUCUUCGGAAUGAAUUUGAUUUAGUUUAGUGGCGGACGGGUGAGUAACGCGUGAGUAACCUGCCUUCAAGAGGGGGAUAACAUUCUGAAAAGAAUGCUAAUACCGCAUGAUAUAUCGGAACCACAUGGUUCUGAUAUCAAAGAUUUUAUCGCUUGAAGAUGGACUCGCGUCCGAUUAGUUAGUUGGUGAGGUAACGGCUCACCAAGACCGCGAUCGGUAGCCGGACUGAGAGGUUGAACGGCCACAUUGGAACUGAGAUACGGUCCAGACUCCUACGGGAGGCAGCAGUGGGGAAUAUUGGGCAAUGGGCGAAAGCCUGACCCAGCAACGCCGCGUGAAGGAAGAAGGUCUUCGGAUUGUAAACUUUUGUCUUAUGGGACGAUAAUGACGGUACCAUAGGAGGAAGCCACGACUAACUACGUGCCAGCAGUCGCGGUAAUACGUAGGUGGCAAGCGUUAUCCGGAAUUAUUGGGUGUAAAGGGUGCGUAGGCGGGAUGUAAAGUCAGAUGUGAAAUACCGCAGCUUAACUGCGGGGCUGCAUUUGAAACUUACGUUCUUGAGUGAAGUAGAGGUAAGCGGAAUUCCUAGUGUAGCGGUGAAAUGCGUAGAUAUUAGGAGGAACACCGGUGGCGAAGGCGGCUUACUGGGCUUAUACUGACGCUGAGGCACGAAAGUGUGGGGAGCAAACAGGAUUAGAUACCCUGGUAGUCCACACUGUAAACGAUGAUUACUAGGUGUAGGGUGGCUGAACCAUUCUGUGCCGGAGUUAACACAAUAAGUAAUCCACCUGGGGAGUACGGCCGCAAGG